Molecule: long non-coding RNA, 971 nt
Filed under: Salvia miltiorrhiza (redroot sage)
Lineage: Eukaryota; Viridiplantae; Streptophyta; Magnoliopsida; Lamiales; Lamiaceae
Description: long non-coding RNA (SMIL_LNC005258)
Source: RNAcentral
GAGGAUUAGCGCUACUUUCCCAAGACAGGUUUAUAUGUGUAUAAUCUUCAGGCUUUGCCUAUCCAGGUGGGCUUACUUUCCAAAUGUACAAAGUAUGAUUGAGUUAUUAAGCUCUAAAUGUUUCAAUGAAAUGCAAAUUGUUUAUUUAAUGUAAUGAAAACUGUUUAUCCAAUAAAAUAUUUUGUGCACUCUGCUCUGUUUAAGGCUCGCAUAAGUUAAUCGAUCGAGGUUCUCUUAUGACCUAACACGUUGUUUGAGAAUUGUGUACACCUAUUAGCUGACUCGGUGGGUUGAUCUCCAUUCGGGCACUAAUCAUGUAUGAGGCGUUAUAAGGGUGCUCGACGGGAUGUGUUCCGGAGCAUUGGGUCCCAAAUGGGAACUUGACUGGGUUACGCCCUCAGUUCAAGUAAAGCGGGAGAUAUGGAUCCGUCGGUGGCUAAAAGGUCCGGGAUCACAGCGAGUAACGGAAAGGGAGUGUGACAUGUGCGCACAAAUGAAAGAAAAUGUUUUAACAUGCUUAGAAGUACUUCUUUCAUUUUAAAACCUUCUAAGUCAUGUCAAGUAUAAUUGGAUAAACUGCUCUUACGAAAAUAUGAAAUGUUUAUGAAAAUGCAUGCCCACUAAGUACAUUAGUACUUAGCCCAAAAAUACUUUCAAAUGUUUUCAGGUUGGCUGGCUGGUGCUGACGGGACGGAGCUGAGGCUAGAGUUAAAAUUCAUAUGUUAGACUUCCGCUGUAGCAAUUACUCAUUUCAGUCUUUUGUUUUCCCAACUUAAGAUCUUCAUGUUAAAUUUCAAAUGAUAUAUUUGACCGAGCUUAGACUCUUCACUACUAAAUUUAUGUCAAUGAAUGUCGGUUGUCAGAAGCAUGAAACAAAACUUAUGAUCCAAAGGGGCAUAGCCCGAGUUUCUAUCCUAUUUCGGGUUUUAACAAGGUAUUUCCCUUGUUUAUUUCUAUGAAUUAUUCACACC